Non-coding RNA from Rattus norvegicus (Norway rat), 6049 nucleotides. The record is from RefSeq and is a predicted model, not a curated record. Lineage: Eukaryota; Metazoa; Chordata; Mammalia; Rodentia; Muridae.
UCAAACAAUCAUCAUGGUCAACAAUGAUGUCAUAUUAUCAAUACUGAAAAGAGAGGCAAGGAAUGGAGGUGGCCAUUCCUAACCCAACCUCAACCCAGUGUAAGGAUCCCUGUGCUCCUAAGGUCCCCCACAGGUUAGCCGGAAGGUUUUCAUAAGCUCCAGAGGCCGUGCCAGAAGUCACCCAGAGGCUGGAGGAGCGUAGACACAGGCCCCACUGAUGCCUGCUGGGUCAGCAAAGUGGCAGCCAGCCAGCCACUUCCUAUCUGUCUCUCUGGCCUCCAGCCAGCUGGCUGGCUCAGAGCAGCAGCUCCUAUGCAAAAUGUAAAAGAAAAAAAAAACAACCUUUUCUGUAUCAGGAAGUUAACAUCAGUCGGGGGAAGCUGCGCUCUCUCUGGUUCUGCCUAGCGGGAAGUCUGGUGUAGAAGAAGCAAUCACCAGGUAAGGGAAUCUUCACUCCCUUUUUGACAUGGUAGAGGAUGGCUUGGAGUGUGUUCAGAGCACAGGCUGGAACCACACUGUCUGGGUUCAAAUCUGGAUCCUCCACUUACAAUGUUAGGAAUGACUGGGGACAAGCUAUUUAACCUCUCUGUGACUGUGUCCUCAUUCGCAAAUGGAAAUAAUAGUAGGACUUAUAUGCUAGGUUACGGUGAAGGCUAAUUGAGUUGACACAUAGAAAGUAUACCUAUCAGUGUUUGAUAUAUACAAACUCCAACAGUGGGGAAUGGGUUAUAUAAACUCUACAUAGCCAUUAAAAUAUCCAUAGUAGCUUGGAUAUACAUCCAUGAUCUAUUAUAAGUGAAAUUGGUUUUUAAAAAUGGCACCGUAUAUAUACCAUUAAAAAAGAAAAUAAAUCCAGGACAGAAAUGAGGUCUCCACAGUUGAGAACGCUAACUUUUCUCAUACAGGACCAGAGCAGCCACACCAGGCAGCUCUCGAACACCUCGAACUCCAGCUCCAAGGGAUUCAUACUCCUGUGCUUUCAUGAGCACUUGCACACAUGUGUCCAUAGGCACACGGAGACCCAGUACAUCUUUAAAGCGAGAAAGAAACCCAUUGAAAUGAAAAUAAUAAAGUAUGUACUCUUAUUAUAUAGCAAAAAGAUAUUUCUGUUUUCCAAAUACCCUGUAGUUUGUAUAUAUUAUGUAGGUAAUUAAAAAAACAAUAAAAGUUAUUCAGAAAGUGUUCAAAUGCAGUAGAUGUACAGUAGAUCCAGGUGAAAUAAUCCUGCUUUAAAACCAUAUCAACGGGUUGGAGAUUUAGCUCAUCGGUAGAGUACUUGCCUAGCAAGCACAAGGCCCUGGGUUCAGUCCCCAGCUCCAAAAAACAAACAAACAAACAAACAAACAAAAACCAUAUCAACACGAUCCCCCAGGGGCCUGGAUCAUUAAGGGCACCCGUGAGGCUAAGCCAUGAUCCACAUCACGAGCUUUAAGGGAACUCCAAUACGACCACCAAAAAGAAAAAAAUCCAUAACAUUGAAUGUUCUUGUGAGUGUGUUGCAUUUCGGCCCCUGCUUUCCGUGGGAUAGUCAAAAACUCUACCUACAGAGUCAGACCUGAAUCUUACCUAAACAAUAGCUGACCCUAAUACGUCAAAUUGCCUGCCCACUGCAUAAAAGCAAUGGGCUGAGCAAGGCUGUGCGUGCAGAGGGAGUCACUGGAGUUUUGAGCACAGGCGGGACAGGACAGGGUGGGGUAGCAUUCCUCCAGCCACUGACUCAGAGGUUUCAAGGAGGAAAUGCAAGCCUGGGGGCUAGUGAAAUAAAGGAAGAAGAUAAGCAUCACAUCCCUGUGCUCAUUUGUGGAGAAUGUGAUUGGGGAAAGGAAGGCAAUUCUGCCCCUGAACCACCAGCCUUAGUAAGUCACUACUCACCCUUGCAAGACUAUUACAACCCAGGUACCCUCAAUCUGGAAAGAGCACCAAACCCCAACCCCUGGACACCAGGGAUGCUAAUUCACCUCAUCUGGAGCCAAAUUGUAAAUAAGUAAGACCCCACCCCAGGCAUCCAGCAUCAGGGCUUCAGAUAGAAGUGACUAGUGAUACAUGGAAGCCUGCGUGACCAGAGAACAGGCAUUAGGAUGAAUCCAGAAGACAUUGCCAACAUCCUCCCUUGGCUUGGCCUCCCUCGCUUCCUCUGAUGCCUGUCAUUUUAUGUCUCCCUUUCCUGCAAUUUAGGCCAUAGUGGGUCCUUUGAGAGACGACAUAAUCUUUUUCUUCUCUGCAUGAGUAGCUUGUAAUUCUCUCUCCCUGGAGGACCAUUACACCCCACAGAUGUGAGGAACUGAGGAAGAAAACUAAAUGCUAGAAAAUUAGGAAGAAAGCUAAACGAGAGAAACUGGUUUCGUUUCCUGCUUUCAGGUGUCAGGGCCAUAGGGCCCUACCCCGUACACUUUAUUGUUGUCUCAAACUGCAUAGGUGACUGUAUAAAAGAGGCCAUCAUGAUAAUCUCUCAAACACCUGAACUGACUGGAAUUGCUUCUUUCUUCCCAAAGAAUAAAGGUGUCUGGGGUGGCCUUUGCUCUACACGGGACAGCCCAAGGCUCAGGCAGGAGGUAGGUGGCUGUUCUACUUCCCCAUGAGAGGUGACAGUGAUGACAGCAUUCCGACAUUUCUAGGAAUGCCCAUCGGGAUCUGCUUCCAAGCCUCAGGCUUGCGAAGGUAGGGAUCGCACGUUUUCUAUCAGGAGAACGGAGGGUAUCUUUUAAGAAGGUAUUUCUUCUGAAAAAUCUUUGAUAGUCUUUGUUUGGAAAUGUGGUGGGGGAGGGGGAGGGGUGCUGUGAGGAUGUCAGAGUUAUUUCUCUUCACAAGCAUGUAGUUCAUGGGGCAGAGAGAACAAGGGGUCUACAGAUGCCAAAGGAGAGUGGUUGGUAACGCUCGGCACUAGUGGUAACAGCAGGCCUGUGAAGUGGGAAUCAUGUGACUGCCAAACAGCCCACACUGCUUUAUGUCACAUCGCUUUUCUUGUCCUCUGGUCCUUCCCAGACUGUGGUCUGUUCAAAGCAUACCCACCAGGACAGUGGGACCAAGGAGUCGGCCAGACUGGGAAGUGGUUUGGAAAAAAUGCUAAAUUCUAAGUUGCUCUCUUGAGCUGCAGGAAGGCGGGACCGAGGUCUAUACAAGUGUUCGCUAGUGUCUCCCUGAACAUGGAACCGGCUCUCUUAGCUUAUUACGCGCUACGGUUUGAAUGUGUCUCCCAGGGGUUGGGGAUUUAGCUCAGUGGUAGAGCGCUUGCCUAGCAAGCGCAAGGCCCUGGGUUCGGUCCCCAGCUCCAAAAAAAAGAAAAGAAAAAGUGUCUCCCAAACACUGGGUUGGGAAGUUGAGCCUCACAGUCAUGUGUUAAUGGUAUCUGAAUAGAGCAUACCUGAGAGUAAUUAGGAAUAGAUAUAUACAUUCAUUCUGUGACUUUAUAAGAAGAGGAAGAGAGACCUGAGCUAACACACGCGCUCUCUCAUCACGUGAUGCCUCCUGCCCUAUCAUGACAGAGCAAGAAGAUGGGGCACUUGUACUGCCCACCUUCAGAGCUGUGAAAUAGUAAGUGUCUAUUCUUUAUAAAUUUCUUAUACAUUUCACAUAUCUGAAUACCUUAGGGUAUUCAGGGAUGGUUACAGAAAAUUGAUGAAAACAUCCUGUGUGUGGAUGUCUUAAACUAGAGGCAUUAAUUUAGGAUUAAUGGCUCAGUCAGUAGUCAGCCCUCCCUCUGUUUCUUUUUAGAACGGGAAGCCAGAAGAAGGGAGAUCCUUUCCUGUGCUAGAGAAAAGGGAAGGGUGGUUCACGGAAAUCCUACCGUGUUGUCUUAAAUGUCUCUGUUUAUUAUUUAGGGGAUGGUACACGAAAGAAAAAUCUUCAUCCUGAUAACUUGAUUCUCCUCUGUGUCCAGGAUGUCACUUCUUCUGUGAGAUCACAGAAGAAUCUUUUCCCUUGAUGGGCCACUGUGUAAUUAAAUCACAUAUCUACUUUACACAAGUAAUGCAGUUUUGAGAAAGGGAGUUAUGUAUAAAUUAUCUUUCUAUGCUCAAACCACAGAGUAAGUGAGCCCCAUGGAUGCUGUGUUUUCCUUUGCUUUUCAGAUGCUUUGGGGGUUACACUCAUAGCUUUAGAUACUCUUUAAAUAGAAAAGGAAAGACAGGCCAACUUAAUUAACAGUCUGAGUGUCUCAGAAUUCAGCCAACCAUACACAUGCACUCCUGGUAGGACAGGGAUUGGGAAGUGGGAAGAUAGAAACCAAGAAAGGCUGGCCAAGGGGCAGGCUCUUUCUCAAAACAAGCAGCCUUUUCCUUCUGCCUUCGCAAUGGCUGGAGGCCCUGGAUCUGAAUGGAAAACCUAGCAAGCAGGAUUUUGCUAUCCCUGACAUACAGCGAGAGCCAGGGAAGCCUUACUCCUGCUGCGUUACUACUGACCCUCUCUGUUUCCUUCCUCGGAGAUCUUGCAGGAUACCUCUAAGAGAGGAAAACUAGAUCCCAGCAGAUACUCAUUUGGAACACUGGCAGGGAGAGGCUUAUCUUACCCCAAAGUAACCAGAAAACUCAGUACCUCAGAGAUCCUACUGAGCAUUUCCCCAAGCAGAGCACAGUGCCAGCAUUCUAACCACCAUUCCUCCCCAAAGCUCACAAAGUUCCCUAAGGCUGUGAGCUCAUAGCAGCCUCAGCGGAUGCUUGUGAACUUUAGGCCUAGUACACACAGGCCAUUCAAUCCCGUAACUCAUGACUACUGGCCAGUUCUGUACCAGACACUCCUCUAACCCCACUUAAUUUCUUGUUUUCAGCCUUUCUGUUUUCCAAACAAAGUGAUUACUAGUUUUCUACCCAUAGAACAAACCCCUCAGAUGAGUAAGUCUAGCUCUCUGUGUCGGAGACGUUGACUUGUGGGCCACCAAGGUUGUUUUUGGCUCCUGGUAGCACACUGUGGUGGCUAUAGAAGGCAGGGCUGUCACUCACCUCAUGGCCAGGAUGCAAAAGAAAAGAGAAAGAAACAGAGUCACAGAGUCCCACAGUUCAUCCAACAGCCCAUUCUCAAUGACCAAGGGAAGUCCCAGCAGACUUCACCUUAUGACACCAUCUCCCAAUAGGUCCACUGGGGACCAGACAUUUAAAAAAGAAAAAAAAAAAAGGAUAAUACGUUCAUUAAUCCUUUGAGCAUUUCCAACAAUGUAUCUUGACUGGGGAACAAACUUAACAUAGAGAACUAGGAGAAACACUUUUCCAAACUACAGCAGUGACUGCUCCGUCCCGUGAACCCUUUUUUUUCCCUUUACUAAAAAUAGGGUGGGUUUUUUUCAUGCAAUAUGUUUUGAUUAUGGUUCCCCUCCCUCUGCUCCUCCCAACUCCUCCCCACAUCCCCUCCCAUCCCACCCCCUUUCUGCCUCUCUUUAGAAAACAAGCAAGCACCUGAAAAUAAUAAUAAAAUAAGACAGCUACUUUUGGUUGUUAACCGUCUACAUCUGGAGCUAAGAGGGUAAACCUGUGAGUGAUUUUUUAAUUGAACCAUUUGAAGUGGGAAGACCCACUUUUAGUCCAUGUCUUUUAAGGUGGGAAGAUCCACUUUAAUCUGGGCUAUGUGAAGGACUCAGGAGACAGAAACUUGCCCUCCUUGCCUGCUUACCCUCGGUGUCCGGCAAGUGCAUUCCUUCACUGGCAUUAGAGCCCUUUUCUUUGGAAUUCUGGCAUAUCCUGGAGUACCUGAGACACACAACUUCAUGGACUGAACAACUACUAGAUCCUUGGAUCUUCCGUUGGUAGACAGUCACUGUCGGACUAGCACAGAGCUUCUCAACCUCUGGAUCACAACUCCUUUGGCAAACUCUAUCUGCAAAAAUGUUUACAUUAUGAUUCAUAACACUGGGAAGUUGCAGUUGUGAAGUAGCAAUGAGAAUAAUUAUAUGGCUGAUGGUCACUGCAACGUGAGGAACUAACUGUACUUAAAGGGUGGCAGCACUGGGACGGUUGAGAACCACUGAAUUAGCAGGACUGAAGCCAGUAAGCCAUUCUAAUAAAUCCUGUGUGUGUGUGUGUGUGUGUGUGUGUGUGUGUGUGUGUGUGUGUGUGUUCAUUAA